UGAAUGCCAGGACAAGCUAAA
Molecule: microRNA, 21 nt
Filed under: Ectocarpus siliculosus
Lineage: Eukaryota; Phaeophyceae; Ectocarpales; Ectocarpaceae
Description: esi-miR3457-5p
Source: miRBase by way of RNAcentral